GACGAACGCUGGCGGCGUGCUUAACACAUGCAAGUCGAACGGAAAGGCCCUGCUUGCAGGGUACUCGAGUGGCGAACGGGUGAGUAACACGUGGGUGAUCUGCCCUGCACUUCGGGAUAAGCCUGGGAAACUGGGUCUAAUACCGGAUAGGAGCCAUUUUUCGUGUUGUGGUUGGAAAGUUUUUUCGGUGUAGGAUGAGCUCGCGGCCUAUCAGCUUGUUGGUGGGGUAAUGGCCUACCAAGGCGGCGACGGGUAGCCGGCCUGAGAGGGUGGACGGCCACAUUGGGACUGAGAUACGGCCCAGACUCCUACGGGAGGCAGCAGUGGGGAAUAUUGCACAAUGGGCGCAAGCCUGAUGCAGCGACGCCGCGUGGGGGAGGACGGCCUUCGGGUUGUAAACUCCUUUCGCUAGGGACGAAGCUUUUUGUGACGGUACCUAGAUAAGAAGCACCGGCUAACUACGUG
RNAcentral lists this ribosomal RNA (465 nucleotides) under uncultured bacterium. RNAcentral describes it as "partial 16S ribosomal RNA". It matches the Rfam family "Bacterial small subunit ribosomal RNA", at positions 28 to 507 of the family's 1533-position model. The record is from RNAcentral.